UUUAAUCAAAAUCAAAUUUUAAUUAAACACUAAAUUAGAAACCAAUUCUAACUUAAAUUGAAUUAAGAUUUUAAUUUAGGAUAAAACUCCUAAAUAAAAUAAAAUUCAAUUUAGGGUCAAAGUUUAAUAUUUAAGUCAAAAUCCAAUUUUAACUAAAAUAUAAAAUGUUGUCAAUUUUAAAUAAAAUUUUAAUUUGGGUCAAAAUUAAAUUAUGGGUCUAACCCAUUUAGAAUAUAAUUUUAAAAUCAUUUUAAAAUUCAAAAUCAAAACCAUUUUGAAAUUUGCACACUGACCCAAGAUUAAAAUUACAAUCAGAGGCUCCCAAUUUCAAAAAUUAUAAACAGGACCUCCAAUUUCUUUAAAUUAUAAAAAGGGCCCCUAUUGUUAUUUACAGAAAUGCCCCCGGUAGUGGAAUUGCAAGCAAGGGUCCUCAAUAUCAACCUUUUGCAAGAUAACCAUUAUCUUAAAAUUUUAACAAAUGGACCCCAACAUCAUAUUGCAACCGGGCCCCCACAAUUACAUUAAUUGCAGAGAAGACCCCCGUCUCCACCAACCUGCAACCCGAAUGCAAACCCUAGAAAUUUUUUUUUUUUUUUAUUUCUUUUGGAUCGCCCCUUCCAGUCACCGCGCGGCAGCAGGUGCUCCAUUGGAGCAGCGCCCGGCGCUGCCAAACCUUGGGCAGCAGGCCUGCUGCCCAACGCCGGCGACCGGCCAGUCUGUCCCUCCACAAUUUUUUUUUAUUUAUAUUCCAAUCCGAAAAUAUUAUUUUCAUUCUCAAAACCAAUUUUGAAUACGAAAAUUAAUUUUCUCAAUUGCUAGAAACAUGAAAAACAAUAACAAUCAAAGAUCAAUUCCUAACAAACACAAAGUAGGCUCUGAUACCACUGUUGGGAAUCUACUUAUACAUGCACAGCGAAAUUUAAAAUAUAUUUCGAUUCCCAUCCAAUAGAUCUCAUUGUGUUUGGUUAGGAAUUGUGAUAGGAUUGUACCUUUUUCAGAUCUGCAAUCCUUUUGCUUUUCUUUUCGUUCCACAACUUUGAUUCGCCACCACAGCUGUCCAAUUGUCCAGCCUCCAACGGUGAUCCACACAGAGAAUUUGAUUGCAGCCUCUAGGGUUUUCUCUUGUGCUAGCAAGAAUAAUGAAAACCUUAAUGGACCUCAAACCCUAGUUAUGUAUUUAUAUAAACCCAAAUAGGCUCGGCCCGGUCCGGCCCAAUAAUUAAUUAAUCCAAUUAAUUAAAN
RNAcentral lists this long non-coding RNA (1242 nucleotides) under Olea europaea (common olive). RNAcentral's name for it is "long non-coding RNA (OEUR_LNC014806)". The record is from RNAcentral. Lineage: Eukaryota; Viridiplantae; Streptophyta; Magnoliopsida; Lamiales; Oleaceae.